RNAcentral lists this long non-coding RNA (2676 nucleotides) under Ananas comosus (pineapple). Its description in RNAcentral is "long non-coding RNA (ACOM_LNC031138)". Lineage: Eukaryota; Viridiplantae; Streptophyta; Magnoliopsida; Poales; Bromeliaceae. The record is from RNAcentral.
UAAAUAAUAAAAGUUUAAAAGAUAAUUAAGAAAUUUUUUUUGUAAUGUAUAUAAGGCUAUUUCAUAGGAUUUUUUUUAAUAUAUUGGGUUACGAUAUUUUCAAUAUAAACUUUUUAAGAAUUAUGUAUAUUAACUGCAUCUUUUGUGUUAUCGAAAACACAGAUGUCUCCAUAUUUUCAAAUUAUUUUUUAAUAAUGAGACAUCCGAUUCAAUAAGAAUCCCAACCCGAAAUAAUUAUUUCUCUUUAUCACAUAUGAAAACAUAUUACAUUAAACCUAAUUUUUAAAAUACAAAUUAAAAUACAACAUCAAAUAUUUAUACAUAUAUAUUACAUAAUAUAAAAUUAAGGAAAAACUUCAAAAACCCCCCUGUGGUUUCGUAGAUUUUCACUUCACCCCCCUGUGGUUUAAAAUGUAUCAAAUUGCCCCAUUGUGGUUUCGUUUUUAUCUUUUCGAUAGUUUUUUCGUUAAUAUUUCAUUAAAUUAUAUACAAAAAACUUCAGAUACCCAUCUAGAUUUAUCAAAUAUUCACUUUAGUACCCUUUAAAUUAACUUUAUCACUGAUUUAAGAAAAAAAAUAAUGAAAUUGAUAAGAAAAAGAGAAAAAAGAAACCACGGGGGGCCAAAUUGAUACAUUUUAAACCACAGAGGGGCAAAAGGAGAAACUAUGAAACUACAUGGGGGGUUUUUGAAGUUUUUCCUAAAAUUAAUUAUUGCGAUCCUUACCAUCAAGAUUUUAUUGUCGAUUUGAAAUUUUAAUAGAAAAUUUUUCUUACCUUCAUUAUAUAUUAAAAUGUUUGUAAGUUCAAUUGUACCUAAAUAUUCGCUCUUGAUGGUAAGUAAUUAUCCUAAAAUGUUUGUAAGUUCAAUGGUAACUAUUUUAAUUGUCGAUUUGAAAUUUAAGUCUUCCAUUAUUAUGUUUUAUAAAAAAAUUUCAACCAUUCAUUUCGAAAUUUCUUAUUUACUAGGCAAAUAAAGUAAAACAAAUUAUAAAAAUUGGUCUCUAAAUGAUUCUAAUAGCAUAAAUCAUGCUUAACGAAGCCGAUCGCUGAAUCAUAUAUCUGGUCAUCAAAAACGACUUAAAAAUACCAAAACUUUUGUACUUUCGAAAGCAUGAUAAUCUAGCUUAUAUAUCUCAAUUUUUCUGAAAUAUUUACUACCUGUCACAAAGCGCGGGCACAACACUAGUAGAUAAUUAUUCUCUCUAUACAUAAUCUUUUCACAAGAGCUCAAACUAAAAUGGAAAUUUGGUGAUUACUCCUCCUAUCAUUAUCAAGGAUAGAGCCACCAGCAUGGAAAAGGGAGAUGGAAAAGGAAAGGGUGGAAGCAAUAAGCUAACUGGCAAAUCACAAUGAACCUUUUCCAUUUAUGGGAUUAGGUAAAUGUGGUGGUAAUUUGUCCUAACUUGUCAAGUGGUUAGAACUAGUGCAUGCAUAGAAAGAGCUGAGUUACAAGAUUUUUUUAGAGACAUCAACAGGUCAGAUUCAUGAUGAAUUUUUAAAUAUGGAAUCCGAACCCAACUAUCGAAAUCGAAAUGUGAACCCGAAUCCGAAGUCAUUAGUUUUUAGGGAUGUCAAUGGGUCAGAUUCGGGGUAGAUUUUAAAAACCCGAAUCUAAACCCGGCUACAUUCGAAAUUUGAAAACUCGAAUUCAACGGAUUAAAAAUCCUUAUCCAAAUUCGAAUCCGACAAAAGUUCAAAACUGAACCUGAAAAUCCGAACUCGAAGUGAUUAUUUCUCUUUACCAUAUAUCAAAACAUAUUACAUUAAAACGAGUAGUCUAAAAAUGAACGACUGAAAAUAAAAAUCUCGUAAAAAAUGAUGAUAAAAGACUUGAAUUUAAGAUCAAAGGUACUGAUCUCACUCUAAAUAGUGAAAAGAAUUUUCUAUAAAAAUUUCAUGAAAUUUGGAUUGUUUUACACUGUUAAAUUCACAAAUGCAUCACAUCGGCCAUUAAAAUUAUCAUUUUUGAGACCUUUUGAUCACUAGCCAAAUGAUGUCGAAAAAUUAUAAAAUUUAGUUUCCAAAUACUUUCAAUAGUGUAGAUCAAGUCUAACGGAGCCGAUCGUCGAUUUGAAAGCCAUAUCAUUGAACACAACUUGGUAGCAUGGAGGCAUCCGUGCUACUGAUAGUAUGCCAACCUAACUCUCUCUCUCUCUCUCUCUCUCUCUCUCUCUCUCUCUCUCUCUAUAUAUAUAUAUAUAUAUAAUGCAAAAUUAAUUCGAGUUUAGGUCGGGUUCGGGUUCAGAUCGGGUACAGACAAAAUCCAUACUCAAAUCCAAAUCCGUUGGGUUUUUAUUUUUUAUAUCUGUAUCCAAAACCAAAUCCAUUUCACAUUGGGUAAAUUCACCCCAUUCGAAUUCGAGUUCGGAUAAAAUUUCGAAUAUUCAUACCCAGUAACAUCCCUAUUAGUUUUGCAAAUCCACAACAAAAAUCAAACUCGAGAAAAAAAAACCCCAAAUUUGAAACUGAACCCAAAAAUCUGAACCCAAUAACAGGUAUUUUAAUAUGUUAUAUUCAAACAUAAAUUUUCAAAAUACAAAUUUAAAUGCAAUCAAGUCAUACAACUCAAUUUAAUUUAUUAUAAUUUCUAACUCGUAUUUUUUAAAUUAUUACAAUCAAGUUCUAUAACGUAAUUUAGCCUACUAAAUGUCAAUGUGCCAUGAAUGUGAAAACAA